CAUCGUCCGAUGCACAUGUGGCUGCUGCAGGUUUUUCUUGCUGCUUCAGCCCUUUGCUCUUAUGGAGCUGCACAAAGCCUCAGGCAGCCAAAACCUUCCACAAGCAACAAAGUGCAAACAACUGCGAGAAUUAGCUGCAGUUUUUCUGGCUCAGACUUCCAGAAUACUCCCAUUCACUGGUACCAACAGAAACCCGGUGAACCUCCAACGCGCAUUCUGUAUGUGGCAACAGGAGAAGCUGUUUUUGAUAAACCGGAUGAUGGAGAUGUGUUUUGGGCAGAGAAGAGCAAGCUGAAUCCCAUCUGCACUCUGACAAUAAAGCGAAUAACGAAGCAGCAGGAGGCAACCUAUUAUUGUGCUUACUGGGUCUACACAACCAUAGAAAACUGUUAAGCAGCCUGUACAGAAACCUCCU
Molecule: non-coding RNA, 415 nt
Organism: Struthio camelus australis
Lineage: Eukaryota; Metazoa; Chordata; Aves; Struthioniformes; Struthionidae
Source: the annotation of a RefSeq genome assembly